CCAAGUCGACGAUCCAUAGCCGGACUGAGAGGUUGAACGGCCACAUUGGGACUGAGACACGGCCCAGACUCCUACGGGAGGCAGCAGUGGGGAAUAUUGCACAAUGGGGGAAACCCUGAUGCAGCAACGCCGCGUGAAGGAAGACGGUUUUCGGAUUGUAAACUUCUUUUAUUCGGGACGAAGAAAGUGACGGUACCGAAUGAAUAAGCCACGGCUAACUAC
RNAcentral lists this ribosomal RNA (222 nucleotides) under uncultured bacterium. Its description in RNAcentral is "partial 16S ribosomal RNA". It matches the Rfam family "Bacterial small subunit ribosomal RNA", at positions 268 to 504 of the family's 1533-position model. The record is from RNAcentral.